This 446-nucleotide ribosomal RNA is filed under the name uncultured bacterium. RNAcentral's name for it is "partial 16S ribosomal RNA". It matches the Rfam family "Bacterial small subunit ribosomal RNA", at positions 338 to 795 of the family's 1533-position model. The record is from RNAcentral.
CCUACGGGGGGCAGCAGUCGAGAAUCAUUCACAAUGGGGGAAACCCUGAUGGUGCGACGCCGCGUGGGGGAAUGAAGGUCUUCGGAUUGUAAACCCCUGUCAUGUGGGAGCAAAUUAAAAAGAUAGUACCACAAGAGGAAGAGACGGCUAACUCUGUGCCAGCAGCCGCGGUCAUACAGAGGUCUCAAGCGUUGUUCGGAAUCACUGGGCGUAAAGCGUGCGUAGGCUGUUUCGUAAGUCGUGUGUGAAAGGCGCGGGCUCAACCCGCGGACGGCACAUGAAACUGGGAGACUAGAGUAAUGGAGGGGUAACCGGAAUUCUCGGUGUAGCAGUGAAAUGCGUAGAUAUCGAGAGGAACACUCGGGGCGAAGGCGGGUUCCUGGACAUUAACUGACGCUGAGGCACGAAGGCCAGGGGAGCGAAAGGGAUUAGAUACCCCAGUAGUC